Molecule: ribosomal RNA, 493 nt
Filed under: uncultured bacterium
Lineage: Bacteria
Description: partial 16S ribosomal RNA
Rfam family: Bacterial small subunit ribosomal RNA
Source: RNAcentral
GACGAACGCUGGCGGCGUGCUUAACACAUGCAAGUCGAACGGAAAGGCCUGCUUUCCCUUGUGGAUUGCGGGUACUCGAGUGGCGAACGGGUGAGUAACACGUGAGUGAUCUGCCCCCAACUUGGGGAUAAGCCUGGGAAACUGGGUCUAAUUCCCGAUAGGACUGCAGGGUGGUGCCUGUGGUGGAAAACGAUUUUCUAGUGGUUGGGGAUGAGCUCGCGCCUAGCAGCUUGUUGGUGGGGUAAUGGCCUACCAAGGCGGCGACGGGUAGCCGGCCUGAGAGGGUGGACGGCCACAUUGGGACUGAGAUACGGCCCAGACUCCUACGGGAGGCAGCAGUGGGGAAUAUUGCACAAGGGGCGGAAGCCUGAUGCAGCGACGCCGCGUGGGGGAUGACGGCCUUCGGGUUGUAAACUCCUUUCGACCGCGAGGAAGCCACCUGGUUGGAAGGGUGGUGACGGUAGUGGUAGAAGAAGCACCGGCUAACUACGUG